CCGCAUAAGCCCACGACCCGGCAUCGGGUAGAGGGAAAAGGAGCAAUCCGCUUUGAGAUGGCCUCGCGUCCGAUUAGCUAGUUGGUGAGGUAACGGCCCACCAAGGCGACGAUCGGUAGCCGGACUGAGAGGUUGAACGGCCACAUUGGGACUGAGACACGGCCCAGACUCCUACGGGAGGCAGCAGUGGGGAAUAUUGCACAAUGGGGGAAACCCUGAUGCAGCGACGCCGCGUGGAGGAAGAAGGUCUUCGGAUUGUAAACUCCUGUUGUUGAGGGAGAUAAUGACGGUACUCAACAAGGAAGUGACGGCUAACUACGUGCCAGCAGCCGCGGUAAAACGUAGGUCACAAGCGUUGUCCGGAAUUACUGGGUGUAAAGGGAGCGCAGGCGGGAAGACAAGUUGGAAGUGAAAUCCAUGGGCUCAACCCAUGAACUGCUUUCAAAACUGUUUUUCUUGAGUAGUGCAGAGGUAGGCGGAAUUCCCGGUGUAGCGGUGGAAUGCGUAGAUAUCGGGAGGAACACCAGUGGCGAAGGCGGCCUACUGGGCACCAACUGACGCUGAGGCUCGAAAGUGUGGGUAGCAAACAGGAUUAGAUACCCUGGUAGUCCACACUGU
RNAcentral lists this ribosomal RNA (618 nucleotides) under uncultured bacterium. RNAcentral describes it as "bacterial SSU rRNA". It matches the Rfam family "Bacterial small subunit ribosomal RNA", at positions 169 to 803 of the family's 1533-position model. The record is from RNAcentral.